Dufourea novaeangliae is the source of this 273-nucleotide long non-coding RNA. RefSeq lists it as uncharacterized. NCBI's taxonomy places the organism in Eukaryota, Metazoa, Arthropoda, Insecta, Hymenoptera, Halictidae. The transcript is spliced from 3 exons. The record is from RefSeq and is a predicted model, not a curated record.
AUAAUGAUGAUGGAAAAGGGGGACUGCUAAAUCUUAAAGAUCUGAUUGACAUUUGGAUAAAUAUCUUGACGAAGGGGAAUAAUUCGGGCGCAGGUGGUGAUGAUGGUGGAAAAGGGGGCCUGCUAAAUCUUAAAGAUCUGAUUGACAUUUGUAUAAAUAUCUUGACGAAGGGGAAUAAUUCGGGCGCAGGUGGUGAUAAUGAUGAUGGAAAAGGGGGACUGCUAAAUCUUAAAGAUCUGAUUGACAUUUGGAUAAAUAUCUUGACGAAGGGGA